RNAcentral lists this small RNA (151 nucleotides) under Peromyscus maniculatus bairdii (prairie deer mouse). Its description in RNAcentral is "7SK RNA (ENSPEMG00000006110.2)". It matches the Rfam family "7SK RNA", at positions 123 to 267 of the family's 331-position model. From Rfam's summary of the family: 7SK was discovered as an abundant small nuclear RNA in the mid-70s but a possible function has only recently been suggested. Two independent studies have found that 7SK RNA binds the CDK9/cyclin T complex (known as elongation factor P-TEFb). The record is from RNAcentral. Lineage: Eukaryota; Metazoa; Chordata; Mammalia; Rodentia; Cricetidae.
CACCGCCCGGCCAUGGCCUGGUCGAAGAGGACGACCUUCCCCGAAUAGAGGAGGACCGGUCUUCGGUCAAGGGUAUACGAGUAGCUGCGCUCCCCUGCUAGAACCUCCAAACAAGCUCUCAUGGCAACUCUUAUAAAGGACAACAUUUAGU